RNAcentral lists this ribosomal RNA (253 nucleotides) under uncultured bacterium. RNAcentral describes it as "partial 16S ribosomal RNA". It matches the Rfam family "Bacterial small subunit ribosomal RNA", at positions 524 to 776 of the family's 1533-position model. The record is from RNAcentral.
UACGAAGGGGGCUAGCGUUGUCCGGAUUUAUUGGGCGUAAAGGGCGCGUAGGCGGCUAGAUGUGUCAAAGGUGAAAUCCCUCGGCUCAACUGAGGAACUGCCUUUGAAACUGUCUGGCUUGAGGCCGGGAGAGGGUAGCGGAAUUCCCAGUGUAGCGGUGAAAUGCGUAGAUAUUGGGAGGAACACCAGUGGCGAAGGCGGCUACCUGGACCGGUUCUGACGCUGAGGCGCGAAAGCGUGGGUAGCAAACAGG